Small nuclear RNA from Manis pentadactyla (Chinese pangolin), 107 nucleotides. Lineage: Eukaryota; Metazoa; Chordata; Mammalia; Pholidota; Manidae. The record is from RefSeq and is a predicted model, not a curated record.
GCACUAACUUUAGCAGCACAUAUACUAAAAUUGGAAUGAUGCAAAGAAGAUUAGCAUGGCCCCUGAGCAAGGAGUACUUGCAGAUUUGUGAAGUAUUCUAUAUCUUU